Molecule: ribosomal RNA, 253 nt
Filed under: uncultured bacterium
Lineage: Bacteria
Description: partial 16S ribosomal RNA
Rfam family: Bacterial small subunit ribosomal RNA
Source: RNAcentral
UGCGUAGGUGGCAAGCGUUAUCCGGAUUUACUGGGUGUAAAGGGCGUGUAGGCGGGACUGCAAGUCAGAUGUGAAAACCACGGGCUCAACCUGUGGCCUGCAUUUGAAACUGUAGUUCUUGAGUACUGGAGAGGCAGACGGAAUUCCUAGUGUAGCGGUGAAAUGCGUAGAUAUUAGGAGGAACACCAGUGGCGAAGGCGGUCUGCUGGACAGCAACUGACGCUGAGGCGCGAAAGCGUGGGGAGCAAACAGG